GAAACUCCCAUCAGAUCAUCUUCAGCACCAACAUGUUCUCUGUAGCUCUGCUGCUGCUGCUGGCUGCUGGAUCCUGUGUGAAGUGUGAACAGCUGACACAGCCAGCCUCUGUGACUGUGCAGCCAGGUCAACGUCUGACCAUCAGCUGUCAGGUUUCUUAUUCUCUGAGCAGCUACUGGACAGCUUGGAUCAGACAGCCUGCAGGGAAAGGACUGGAGUGGAUUGGGGGGAAAUAUACUGGAGAGUCAGCGUACAAAGAUUCACUGAAGAACAAGUUCAGUAUCGACUUAGACACUUCCAGUAAAACAGCGACUCUGAAUGGGCAGAAUCUGCAGCCUGAAGACUCGGCUGUGUAUUACUGUGUCAGAUACCACAGUGACACAAACCAGCAGCAGAGCUUUGUGGAUGAUGAAACCAGGGUCUCUACCGGGCUGGAGCAGAUGAAUGGUGAUGUCAGGAGCUGGCAGACGAGAGGAAGCUGGAGGACCGAAGGUGAGCUUCGGGACGGAACCAGAGCAGAGUUUGGAGCGGGGUCCAAGCUGGCAGGACGAGAGUCUGAUGAUGGGAGAAUGAAGAACGACAAUGAACCAGCGAUGAAGGGCUGGCUGAAGAGUCCUUAA
Molecule: non-coding RNA, 620 nt
Organism: Fundulus heteroclitus (mummichog)
Lineage: Eukaryota; Metazoa; Chordata; Actinopteri; Cyprinodontiformes; Fundulidae
Source: the annotation of a RefSeq genome assembly